Molecule: ribosomal RNA, 397 nt
Filed under: uncultured bacterium
Lineage: Bacteria
Description: partial 16S ribosomal RNA
Rfam family: Bacterial small subunit ribosomal RNA
Source: RNAcentral
AUACGUAGGUGACAAGCGUUAUCCGGAUUUACUGGGCGUAAAGGGCGUGUAGGCGGUCUUGCAAGUCAGAAGUGAAAUUCCUGAGCUCAACUCGGGCGCUGCUUCUGAAACUGCAGGACUUGAGUGCUGGAGGGGAUAGCGGAAUUCCUAGUGGAGCGGUGAAAUGCGCAGAUAUUAGGAAGAACACCGGUGGCGAAGGCGGGUUUCUGGACAGUUAAUUGCGCUGAGGCGCGAAAGCGUGGGGAACAAACAGGAUUAGUUACCCUGUUAGUCCACGCCGUAAACGAUGAAUACUAGGUGUAGGGGGUAUCGACUCCCUCUGUGCCGCAGUUAACACAAUAAGUAUUCCGCCUGGGGAGUACGGCCGCAAGGUUGAAACUCAAAUGAAUUGACGGGG